Long non-coding RNA from Dunckerocampus dactyliophorus (ringed pipefish), 1755 nucleotides. RefSeq lists it as uncharacterized. The transcript has 3 exons. The record is from RefSeq and is a predicted model, not a curated record. NCBI's taxonomy places the organism in Eukaryota, Metazoa, Chordata, Actinopteri, Syngnathiformes, Syngnathidae.
UCCCGCUGUUUUGUGUCACUAUAUCUGCUCACAGCAAUUCAUGUGACAAUUCUUUCUACUUUUCCCCCCUCUCCGAAUCCUUCUCUUUCUUUUCGUCCUCUCUCACAACAGCAUGUCCCUCCCUUCCUCUUUCUGUCUCUCCACCCGCCCUCCCUUCACUCUCCUUCCCUCUUGGCAGCAGUGCCAAAGUGGGCAGGCAGACGGAGGCAAACACAGCACAGGCCAGAGCAGAGGGCGAUCCAAAGGCUGGCGAAUUGAUAAUGUGGAUGGAACUGUCCAGCGUCUGUUGUGUUGUUGUUUCUGUUUCUUUUUUCGACGUCGUGUUGUGAGCUUCUCUAGGCACCCUCUUCUGUUCCUUGUGCACAAUGUGUGCGUUUCGGAUGUGUGUUUGUAGGGCUAUGAGAGAGCAGACGUCCCUCUGUCACCCUGUGCAUGAACAGACGCACUCACGCCAGGAGGAGGGGAUUGUGGGAAAAAGGGGUGUCGCUCUCAGAGGGUGUGCUCUACUCCUCUCUUUUCCCUUCUUCCCGCCAUCACGGCCUUCUUCUCCUCCAGUCCUCCGGCCCAGGCCGCCGCUCAGAUACAGGCUCCAGGAGGGUGACCUUGAUGGCUGCACCGCGAUGAGGCAACAAGAAUGCUGCCCUUGGGCCUGAGGAGACAGCUUGAUCAGCCAAUUCCUCGCGCAAGUGACAAUGUGGCACUGUCCAAUCACAGAACAUGGAACGCAGCAACUCACAUAACAUAUAUUGUUGUGACCAUUACUGUGUUUGCUCCCAAGUGGUAUAUUAUGUUACUUGGCAGGUGAUUGUGUGUUUAAACUGGGCUUUGUCAGGGUGAGGUAGUAGGUUGUAUAGUUUGGUGGGUGGGUCUGCACCCUGCUCAGGUGAUAACUAUACAGUCUAUUGCCUUCCUUGAGCAGCUCAUAGACAACUAAUGAUCACUGGGCAAAACUAGUCUGCAUUUGUUUGCAUAUGUCACGUAACUGACGCUUUAAGUUAAUAAAUGCAAAUAAAGUCAUACAUUACAAGUGGGUCGACUUAUUGUAAUGGAGUCAUACGUCCAGUGGUCAGUCUUGCGCGCCCUCCAGUGGAUAAAAGGAAAGACUGCAAAUUCAAUUCACUCCACCCUUGUGUGUCCUCGUCCUGUAUUGAAAUGAAAAGUGUUGAGCGCAAUUUUAAUGGCCAUGAGUAUUCUGUUUUACAAUAUAAUAAUAUCUAGCAGACUACAAUACACAGCUGUCGUCGUGUUUAGCGUGGCCCUAGAGGGAAUAUUUACACGCCCGUGUAUUUGUGUAUUUGUUUGUGUGUGUAAACACGUACAAUAGAAAUGAACGGCUUUCCAUAAAACCUAGUGGAAAUGUGCGCACACGUGUAGUUUCAGAAAUUUGUUCUUACAUCAUCUUCGUAGAAAGCAAAGGUAGAAAGCGUAGAAUCGUCUUCCUCCCCUUCAUUCAUUUGGCAACUACCAGACAGUUACGCGCACUACUGCCUUCUACAGGAGAGGGGUGAAACACAGGAUCCACUAAGAAAAUUCAUGGAGCAGCCUCACGUCAAGCAAGCCUCACAUCUUUAGUGGAAAAAAGAAAGCUUUGGACCGACGACAAAUCAGCCAAUUUACAUAUUUUAAAUUACAACCCCAAAAAAUUUGAAAUACUAUAUAUAUACGCUUACCUCAAAGUAAAAAUAAUGUCAAUAAAAUGAAAAAUAAAAUAAAUUAUGAAUACAGCAAUCAUCAUCAAAAAAUUUCAGCACAGUU